UACGUAGGGUGCGAGCGUUAAUCGGAUUUACUGGGCGUAAAGCGUGCGCAGGCGGCCCGUUAAGACAGGUGUGAAAUCCCUGGGCUCAACCUAGGAAUUGCGCUUGUGACUGGCGGGCUCGAGUACGGUAGAGGGGGGUGGAAUUCCUGGUGUAGCAGUGAAAUGCGUAGAGAUCAGGAGGAACACCGAUGGCGAAGGCAGCCCCCUGGGCCUGUACUGACGCUCAUGCACGAAAGCGUGGGGGGCAAACAGG
This 253-nucleotide ribosomal RNA is filed under the name uncultured microorganism. RNAcentral describes it as "partial 16S ribosomal RNA". It matches the Rfam family "Bacterial small subunit ribosomal RNA", at positions 524 to 776 of the family's 1533-position model. The record is from RNAcentral.